GGAGGGGCAAGCGUUGUCCGGAUUUACUGGGGCGUAAAGCGCGCGUAGGUGGUUCACUAAGUCGGCUGUGAAAGCGCUGGGGCUCAACCCAGCACGGGCCAGUCGAUACUGGUGGACUUGAGUUCGGGAGAGGGAAGUGGAAUUGCUGGUGUAGCGGUGGAAUGCGUAGAUAUCAGCAAGAACACCGGUGGCGAAGGCGGCUUCCUGGACCGAUACUGACACUGAGGCGCGAAAGCUAGGGGAGCGAACGGGAUUAGAUACCCCGGUAGUCCUAGCCGUAAACGAUGGUCACUAGGUGUUGGGGGUAUCGACCCCUCCGGUGCCGAAGCUAACGCAUUAAGUGACCCGCCUGGGGAGUACGGCCGCAAAGGCUGA
This 375-nucleotide ribosomal RNA is filed under the name uncultured organism. Its description in RNAcentral is "partial 16S ribosomal RNA". It matches the Rfam family "Bacterial small subunit ribosomal RNA", at positions 528 to 897 of the family's 1533-position model. The record is from RNAcentral.